RNAcentral lists this long non-coding RNA (803 nucleotides) under Homo sapiens (human). RNAcentral describes it as "HSALNT0053793". Lineage: Eukaryota; Metazoa; Chordata; Mammalia; Primates; Hominidae. The record is from RNAcentral.
GCCCAUCUUCCUUGGGUACUGAAGCUCGCGAGAGGAUCCUGGGGGCAGGCGCGUCGCGGUGGCAGUGUUUCUUGGGUGUGCGGGGCCGGGCGCCCCGUAGCCUCUGGUCUGCAUGGGGAUUACAGGUGUUUGGCAAGUGGCAUGGCAGAACAGAGAAUCUAGAUUCAGGACCUGGACUUGGAUAUAAGCUGUCACUUGUUACUUGGCCUUGCACUAAAUGACCAUUCUCAGGUAAAUGGGCAACCACCUGUUUCAGUGUUGUAAGGACUGAGGUAGGUGAUCUAUGUGAAAGCGUGAGAUACGUGCCAGGUAUCAUGAUCAAUACAUAAGGGUACACAACAAAGAAUAAAAGUUCUAUAUAAAUACAAGGCAAUAUUAUUACAUAACUCUACCUAUUGCAUAGUUUUAUAAAUCAUUUUUCCAGGAGUAAAGGCUGAAUGGUAACAAAGAUAUCUUACCUUGGCCAGUUUCUUCAUCCUUCUAAAAGUUUUUCAUAUUCCAAUACCUCUGAAUUUCUCAAAAAAUCAAAUUAAGACCUUAGGAAUCUUAUUUCCACCUCCCCUCUCCCAUCACUUUCCCUCUUUGGUCUUCUCAGAAUGAGAAGAGCUCCACUAUUUCUUCUAAACACCAUCCAGAAUGUGAGAAUGAAACCCAAACUGAGACCCCUGGCUGGACUUGAGCAGAAUGACAGCAGAGACAACUGGGGCAUGCCUCUAGGCAAGCUUUAUUCUUUGACUCCUUCAUCCAGGAAGGGGCUGUUAGUUGCAUCUCACCCAAAUGGAAUGCGAUGGGAAUUGGGGGCU